Molecule: ribosomal RNA, 763 nt
Filed under: uncultured bacterium
Lineage: Bacteria
Description: bacterial SSU rRNA
Rfam family: Bacterial small subunit ribosomal RNA
Source: RNAcentral
CAGUCGACGAGAGAAAGAAGCUUGCUUUUCUGAUCUAGUGGCGGACGGGUGAGUAACACGUGAGCAAUCUGCCUUUCAGAGGGGGAUACCGAUUGGAAACGAUCGUUAAUACCGCAUAACAUAAUUGAACCGCAUGAUUUGAUUAUCAAAGAUUUAUCGCUGAAAGAUGAGCUCGCGUCUGAUUAGCUAGUUGGUAAGGUAACGGCUUACCAAGGCGACGAUCAGUAGCCGGACUGAGAGGUUGAUCGGCCACAUUGGGACUGAGACACGGCCCAGACUCCUACGGGAGGCAGCAGUGGGGAAUAUUACACAAUGGAGGAAACUCUGAUGCAGCGAUGCCGCGUGAGGGAAGAAGGUUUUAGGAUUGUAAACCUCUGUCUUCGGGGACGAAAAAAGACGGUACCUGAGGAGGAAGCUCCGGCUAACUACGUGCCAGCAGCCGCGGUAAUACGUAGGGAGCGAGCGUUGUCCGGAAUUACUGGGUGUAAAGGGAGCGUAGGCGGGAUCGCAAGUCAGAUGUGAAAACUAUGGGCUUAACCCAUAAACUGCAUUUGAAACUGUGGUUCUUGAGUGAAGUAGAGGUAAGCGGAAUUCCUAGUGUAGCGGUGAAAUGCGUAGAUAUUAGGAGGAACAUCAGUGGCGAAGGCGGCUUACUGGGCUUUAACUGACGCUGAGGCUCGAAAGCGUGGGGAGCAAACAGGAUUAGAUACCCUGGUAGUCCACGCCGUAAACGAUGAUUACUAGGUGUGGGGGGACUGACCCC